UAGGGAAUCUUCCGCAAUGGGCGAAAGCCUGACGGAGCAACGCCGCGUGAGUGAUGAAGGUCUUCGGAUCGUAAAACUCUGUUAUUAGGGAAGAACAAAUGUGUAAGUAACUAUGCACGUCUUGACGGUACCUAAUCAGAAAGCCACGGCUAACUACGUGCCAGCAGCCGCGGUAAUACGUAGGUGGCAAGCGUUAUCCGGAAUUAUUGGGCGUAAAGCGCGCGUAGGCGGUUUUUUAAGUCUGAUGUGAAAGCCCACGGCUCAACCGUGGAGGGUCAUUGGAAACUGGAAAACUUGAGUGCAGAAGAGGAAAGUGGAAUUCCAUGUGUAGCGGUGAAAUGCGCAGAGAUAUGGAGGAACACCAGUGGCGAAUGCGACUUUCUGGUCUGUAACUGACGCUGAUGUGCGAAAGCGUGGGGAUCAAACAGG
RNAcentral lists this ribosomal RNA (429 nucleotides) under Actinomycetes bacterium. RNAcentral's name for it is "Actinobacteria bacterium partial 16S ribosomal RNA". It matches the Rfam family "Bacterial small subunit ribosomal RNA", at positions 355 to 776 of the family's 1533-position model. Lineage: Bacteria; Bacillati; Actinomycetota; Actinomycetes. The record is from RNAcentral.